This 501-nucleotide ribosomal RNA is filed under the name uncultured bacterium. RNAcentral describes it as "bacterial SSU rRNA". It matches the Rfam family "Bacterial small subunit ribosomal RNA", at positions 791 to 1319 of the family's 1533-position model. The record is from RNAcentral.
UAGUCCACGCCGUAAACGAUGGAUACUAGCUGUUCGAUCUUCGGAUUGAGUGGCUAAGCGAAAGUGAUAAGUAUCCCACCUGGGGAGUACGUUCGCAAGAAUGAAACUCAAAGGAAUUGACGAGGGCCCGCACAAGCGGUGGAGCAUGUGGUUUAAUUCGAUGAUACGCGAGGAACCUUACCAGGGCUUAAAUGUAGAUUGCAUUAGCUAGAGAUAGCUAUUUCUUCGGACUACUUACAAGGUGCUGCAUGGUUGUCGUCAGCUCGUGCCGUGAGGUGUCAGGUUAAGUCCUAUAACGAGCGCAACCCCUGUUGUUAGUUGCCAGCGAGUAAUGUCGGGAACUCCAGCAAGACUGCCGGUGCAAACCGUGAGGAAGGUGGGGAUGACGUCAGGUCCUCAUGGCCCUUACGGGUUGGGCUACACACGUGCUACAAUGGUAGUGACAGUGAGUUAAUCUCCAAAAACUAUCUCAGUUCGGAUUGUCGUCUGCAACUCGACGGC